CAGAUAUGCAGGGACAGACUGGCAGAGACAGGGAGUCUCAGGUGGCUGCCCACAGGAAGUGAUGCAGUCCAGUGGCGUGGUGGGACCUUUGUGCAACUGGAGCAUAUGUUUGAGAGAAAAUUGACACCUAGUGAAGGGAAACUGAGGCUUUCUGAAUGCUUUGGUGCUUUCAAUAAAUUGUGCUGAAAAAUG
Salmo salar (Atlantic salmon) is the source of this 192-nucleotide long non-coding RNA. RefSeq lists it as uncharacterized. The record is from RefSeq and is a predicted model, not a curated record. Lineage: Eukaryota; Metazoa; Chordata; Actinopteri; Salmoniformes; Salmonidae.